RNAcentral lists this ribosomal RNA (504 nucleotides) under uncultured bacterium. Its description in RNAcentral is "partial 16S ribosomal RNA". It matches the Rfam family "Bacterial small subunit ribosomal RNA", at positions 30 to 523 of the family's 1533-position model. The record is from RNAcentral.
AUUGAACGCUGGCGGCAUGCCUUACACAUGCAAGUCGAACGGCAGCAUGGAGAGCUUGCUCUCUGAUGGCGAGUGGCGAACGGGUGAGUAAAGCAUCGGAACGUACCGUGUAGUGGGGGAUAACGUAGCGAAAGUUACGCUAAUACCGCAUACGCACUGAGGUGGAAAGCAGGGGAUCGUAAGACCUUGCGCUAUACGAGCGGCCGAUGUCAGAUUAGUUAGUCGGUAGGGUAAAGGCCUACCAAGGCGAGGAUCUGUAGCGGGUCUGAGAGGGUGGUCCGCCACACUGGGACGGGGACACGGCCCAGACUCCUACGGGAGGCAGCAGUGGGGAAUUUUGGACAAUGGGUGCAACCCUGAUCCAGCCAUGCCGCGUGAGUGAAGAAGGCUUUCGGGUGGUAAAGCUCUUUCGGCCGUGAAGAAAUCGCACAGGCUAAUACCCUGUGUGGAUGACGGUACCGGCAUAAGAAGCACCGGCUAACUACGUGCCAGCAGCCGCCGUAA